Molecule: long non-coding RNA, 1027 nt
Organism: Grammomys surdaster
Lineage: Eukaryota; Metazoa; Chordata; Mammalia; Rodentia; Muridae
Exons: 4
Source: RefSeq, a predicted model, not a curated record
ACAGGAACAAAAUUCCCUGGGGAAAAUAAAAGAUUUCAAAACCAGCUGUAGAAUAAUAGAUUUCUGGUUCUGGAGAACUCUGUCCCUGGUGGAAAGAGUAUUGUCAGAUGAGAAGAGAUCUGCCACCUAACACCAUGCACCAUGGGGACAUGAGAGAUUCCAGGACGUGUCCCUCACUGGAUUCCAGGCCGUGUCUAUCACUGGAUCUCAGGACAUGUCCCGCACUGGAUCCCAGGAUGUGUCCUUCACUGGAUCCCAGAAUGUGUCCUUCACUGGGUCCCAGGAUAUGUUCAUCGCUGGGUCCCAGAAUGUGUCCAUUGCUAAUCCCUGUCCUAAUGUGAAUUGCUCAAUCUGCCAGGCCAGGAACAUAGCCUGAGAAAGGAGCAAAGAACCUGACAUUUUCAGAACCAUUUGCUCACCAGGGCCUUAGCCUCCUGCCAUUGCUGCUGAGAGCUUGAGGUCCACCCGCAGCCACAAUCCAGUGGGCGAAUGUACCUGUCACUCACAAAGCUGGUCACUCCAGUUCCUCCAUCUACCCUCAGUUGAACCUGAAGGACAAAGAGCAGAAGGCGCGUGGAUUUGCAGACUAUUACCAACAAAUUCUCCACACCAUGGCGGAGCGUGUCCUCAGGCUACCUAAUAGUCCAACUUUACAGAGCUUUCUCUCUUAUUCUUCUGAGCUACUUACUGUGUUACACGGCCUUUGUUCUCAACCUCCAAAACCCUCUUCUCCGCCGUUGCUCAUCUUGCUCUUGUUCUAUUGCAGAAAUGGAUGCAAAUUAGGCCAGAACUUCAGGAAAUCUUCCUCACCCACUCUCCACCUGUCCUCCCACCCCAUGGCCCCCCUACACUCCUGGAACCCCCUGCUUUCCUCUGGAGCAAUCUCAGCAUUAUUUUCAUGGGUGGACAAGCCAUAGGGCUUUUAAACAUUACUCUCCUACCUCUAAGUCAGUUUGCUCAGCAGACAAACGCUCUCAUUUUCCCCAUCUUUAGGAGUGAAUUGAAACAAGAACAAAACCAAACUGAA